Molecule: ribosomal RNA, 301 nt
Filed under: uncultured bacterium
Lineage: Bacteria
Description: partial 16S ribosomal RNA
Rfam family: Bacterial small subunit ribosomal RNA
Source: RNAcentral
CAGUCGCCGCGGGAACACGAGGGGGGCAAGCGUUGUCCGGAAUUAUUGGGCGUAAAGCGCGCGCAGGCGGAUUGGUCAGUCUGUCUUAAAAGUUCGGGGCUUAACCCCGUGAUGGGAUGGAAACUGCCAAUCUAGAGUAUCGGAGAGGAAAGUGGAAUUCCUAGUGUAGCGGUGAAAUGCGUAGAUAUUAGGAAGAACACCAGUGGCGAAGGCGACUUUCUGGACGAAAACUGACGCUGAGGCGCGAAAGCCAGGGGAGCGAACGGGAUUAGAUACCCCCGUAGUCCCUGUCUCUCAUACC